This 83-nucleotide microRNA precursor is filed under the name Spodoptera frugiperda (fall armyworm). Its description in RNAcentral is "microRNA sfr-mir-11 precursor". Its record names the gene sfr-mir-11. The stretch from base 7 to 77 matches the Rfam family "mir-11 microRNA precursor family". Lineage: Eukaryota; Metazoa; Arthropoda; Insecta; Lepidoptera; Noctuidae. The record is from miRBase by way of RNAcentral.
GUGCGGUCUCGUGGCUAGCACUUUGGCUGUGACCUGUGUGUCGUAGUCACAUCACAGUCAGAGUUCUAGCUACGCGGCUGUGU